GGUACCCCAACAAUGAUAGAAGACAGGAUUACGACAGGCGUUUACAGUUAGCUUUUUUGGGUUUUAAGUUCCUGUUGAGUGACAACUUUCACGACCCCGAACACGCGAGCAAAACAAAAUUGCACGGUGGUACAGAACAAUAAAACCAAAACAAAUUGCUGAAGUCAAGGCUAGUGCUUAAUUAUUAUUUAACAUUCUAAGUGAAAAAUGUAUUAACUUGAAAAAGAAGUCCGCAAUGGCGGAAUUAAACAACAAUAGUACAAAAAAGUCGUCUAUAAAGAAUUUUUUUCACUUUUCCAACCAACAAAAAAGUUGGCAACUUUUUGUAACAAAACAUAUAAUUUUAAUUAUAAAUGUGCAUGAUUAUAUGGGAUCAUUUUAUAAAUGAAGAUUUUAAGAAUUACGUUCAUUGUGAUAUUUUAUCUGCACAUUAUUCAAUUUGGUUCACUAUGUUUCACAUUUCCGUUUUCCAUUUGACAAUUCUUCUGUUGCCUAUUCCCAUUCGUGGGUCGUGAACGCUUCAGCCUGUCGUAACCCAGCAAGUCAUGGGUACUGAAACUCCAACACAUUCAAAGAAAUUUUAAUAACACCAGUACGUACACACAUACACAACAAAGGGUAAAAUGUACAUAAACAUUUAACUCAACUCUUCUCUCAUACACAAUGAUAGAAAGAAACAACCAAAGUUCUCGUGUUUGAACAAGUUUUGUUUUGAGCUAUAUCAUGGUUGCUUGUGAAGUAUUAUUUUGCGUGUUUUAUUUAAUUCAGUGAUCUGCAGCCUAAUUAAAGUUUAAAUUUUUGAAGCACGCAUAUUUAAAUAAGUAAAACGUAAAAUAAAGGUUUUCCAAAGCCAAAAUAUGGAAUUGAAGAGGGUGAUACAGAAAUAGUUCUUUGCACUGUCAAUUCGAAGCACGCAAUAGAAGCUACGCCAACAAUGGUUAACAUCAAUGGCGAAACCAUUGAAUACAUAUUUCAAACCUCAUAUGGCGCGUUAAAGGUACGCAAAUUUAUUGGUGUCACUUAUUGUAGCAGCGUAGAACUUUCGAAGCGAUGGAAUAUGUGCUGCAAGCAAAUCCAAAACUAUGGACGCAAACGCUGCUACAUGGAACACAAAUCAUUCACACACCAGACAUUACGUUUAAUGUCACUUUUUUGCGUGCAAUUAAACCUUUUGGUCAACACAAGCACGAGAAUUGGAACGACAUGGCGUGUUUCAACUGGGUUUUGCCAAUGAGCUAGAGGGCAAAGCAGUUUCAGUAUCUUUGAGCUUACCGGCACUUGGCCGUGCCAUUAGCAGCUAAAACACAGAAAUUAAAGGGAGGACUUUUUUGAUUCAUUUUCACCUUGUAUUGAGGAACCAUAACGUUGUUGUAUCGCUUUACAAGGACAUAAAUUCACCGAAAUUAGUUCAUUGGAAAUACUACAGCAAGAGCAUGGAUGUUAGGACUUGAACGGUGCCGUGUUAGAUUUAGAAUUCCAGAAACAUAAGAAACCCUCCUCCCAGAUGAAUCUAGUACUAGUGAAAUUAAUGAAAGAACAGAUCUUAUAAAAACUCCGAAAGAAACCAAAAGAGUCCUCACAUAAUGUGCGCAGCUUACACUUCCAGACCGCAUGGGGUAUUUGACAUUUUCCACUCUUCCUCCAGCCUUUGUCCGAUAGCAAAAAUUGUUCAAAUAUUCAUUUUCACCUACUUUAUACAUAUAUAUAUAGUGUAGUACGAUAAUAUAUUUAUAAAGUAAAUAUAAUAAUAAACAACUAAAUGGCAUGAUAUUUUAAAUAAAUAUGUAAUAUAAU
Zeugodacus cucurbitae (melon fly) is the source of this 1794-nucleotide long non-coding RNA. RefSeq lists it as uncharacterized. The record is from RefSeq and is a predicted model, not a curated record. Lineage: Eukaryota; Metazoa; Arthropoda; Insecta; Diptera; Tephritidae. The transcript has 4 exons.